This 549-nucleotide ribosomal RNA is filed under the name uncultured bacterium. RNAcentral describes it as "bacterial SSU rRNA". It matches the Rfam family "Bacterial small subunit ribosomal RNA", at positions 355 to 895 of the family's 1533-position model. The record is from RNAcentral.
UGGGGAAUAUUGGACAAUGGGCGCAAGCCUGAUCCAGCCAUACCGCGUGGGUGAAGAAGGCCUUCGGGUUGUAAAGCCCUUUUGUUGGGAAAGAAAUCCAGCUGGUUAAUACCCGGUUGGGAUGACGGUACCCAAAGAAUAAGCACCGGCUAACUUCGUGCCAGCAGCCGCGGUAAUACGAAGGGUGCAAGCGUUACUCGGAAUUACUGGGCGUAAAGCGUGCGUAGGUGGUCGUUUAAGUCCGUUGUGAAAGCCCUGGGCUCAACCUGGGAACUGCAGUGGAUACUGGGCGACUAGAGUGUGGUAGAGGGUAGCGGAAUUCCUGGUGUAGCAGUGAAAUGCGUAGAGAUCAGGAGGAACAUCCAUGGCGAAGGCAGCUACCUGGACCAACACUGACACUGAGGCACGAAAGCGUGGGGAGCAAACAGGAUUAGAUACCCUGGUAGUCCACGCCCUAAACGAUGCGAACUGGAUGUUGGGUGCAAUUUGGCACGCAGUAUCGAAGCUAACGCGUUAAGUUCGCCGCCUGGGGAGUACGGUCGCAAGACU